RNAcentral lists this ribosomal RNA (469 nucleotides) under uncultured bacterium. RNAcentral describes it as "partial 16S ribosomal RNA". It matches the Rfam family "Bacterial small subunit ribosomal RNA", at positions 28 to 507 of the family's 1533-position model. The record is from RNAcentral.
GAUGAACGCUGGCGGCGUGCUUAACACAUGCAAGUCGAACGGUGAAGCUCCAGCUUGCUGGAGUGGAUCAGUGGCAAACGGGUGAGUAACACGUGAGCAACCUGCCCCUGACUCUGGGAUAACAGCCGGAAACGGCUGCUAAUACCGGAUAUGCACCAUGAACGCAUGUUCUGUGGUGGGAAAGAUUUUUCGGUUGGGGAUGGGCUCGCGGCCUAUCAGCUUGUUGGUGAGGUAAUGGCUCACCAAGGCGUCGACGGGUAGCCGGCCUGAGAGGGUGACCGGCCACACUGGGACUGAGACACGGCCCAGACUCCUACGGGAGGCAGCAGUGGGGAAUAUUGCACAAUGGGCGAAAGCCUGAUGCAGCAACGCCGCGUGAGGGAUGACGGCCUUCGGGUUGUAAACCUCUUUUAGCAGGGAAGAAGCGAGAGUGACGGUACCUGCAGAAAAAGCGCCGGCUAACUACGUG